This 66-nucleotide transfer RNA is filed under the name Drabescoides nuchalis. RNAcentral's name for it is "tRNA-Ser". Lineage: Eukaryota; Metazoa; Arthropoda; Insecta; Hemiptera; Cicadellidae. The record is from RNAcentral.
AAGAGAAUAAGAAUAGAAAUAGCUGCUAACUAAUUUCUAAAGCGGUUCAAUUCCGUUUUUCUCUUG